Molecule: long non-coding RNA, 3273 nt
Filed under: Populus trichocarpa (black cottonwood)
Lineage: Eukaryota; Viridiplantae; Streptophyta; Magnoliopsida; Malpighiales; Salicaceae
Description: long non-coding RNA (PTRI_LNC003858)
Source: RNAcentral
UUUUAAGUUGUUGCUAAAAUAUAGACCUGAGGACAAGGUUGCUAAGAAGGAAAGGCUUCUUAAAAGAGCACAAGCUGCUGAAGAGGGGAGGACUGUGGAAUCAAAGAAGCCUAUUGUCGUUAAAUAUGGUCUUAACCAUGUAACUUAACUCAUUGAGCAGGUACGAAUGUUGGUCCUGCCUAACGAGUUGAACCUCUAGUACUUGAGGGUUGAGGCUUCACCUGGGCCGGGUUUGCAAUUAAAUCAAAUGAGGUGUCCCAGUUCGAGUCAACUCAUAAUUUUAUCCUUCUAUUUUAUUUUUUUUUGGAACACCAUCCUUUCAACUUUUUUUAUAUUGGGGAUUUCAUGUUGUCAUCUGACUUGGAUUGUGACAACAUGCACGGCAGAUUUGAUGCAUUAAUUUCUAAGGUUAUCUUAUAUUUUUCCUAAGACUCUACUUGUUGCAUGUAGAACAAGGCCUAGUUGGUGGUUAUCGCACAUGAUGUGGAUCCAAUUGAGCUUGUUGUCUGGUUGCCAGCAUUGUGCCGGAAAAUGGAAGUUCCUUGUGCAAUUGUGAAGGGCAAGUUUUUUCUAGGGGUGUUUAUUUUCAGUUUGGUUUGGUUUUUAUUAAAAAAAGUAACCAAACCGAAUUUUUUUUAAAAAAAACCAAACCGAAACCGGUUCAAACCGACCGGUUUCGGUUCGGUUCUGUUUUUUAGAACAAAAACCGGUUCAAACCGGUUUGGCUCGGUUUUUUCGGUUUGGCUAGGUUUUUUUCCGGUUUUUUUCUGUUCGGGUUCGUUCGGUUUUUUCGGUUCCAGGCUUAAAAACCGAACCGGUCGGUUUUUUAAAAUUUUAAUCGGUUUAAUCGGUUUUUUUCAAGGUUCGGUUUUUUCAAUUUUUUUUUCCGGUUUUCUCAGUUUAAUCAGUUUUUUGGUUUUUUUAAAUACCCCUAAUUUUUUCUAAUCUCUUCCAAUGUGUUAAAAGAUUGUGAAGGGCAACUCCAAACGGAUUCAUCAUUGGCUUCAAAAUUUAUAGUUGUAUCUCCGAGAUAGUUGUAACAAUUUACUUCACAAAUUUAACUAAUUUUUCGAUAAAUAAUUCAGUUACUACUCAAUUAAAUUUAAUCAAUUUAAAAUCUUAAUGAUUCAUGGUAGAAGUUGAGCACAGAGAAAUUUUGUAAAUUAAAUAAAAAUAGUUUUUUUAUUGUAAAAUUAUCUAUAUUUCCACUAUUCUAGAUAUAAUUCUGUAAGAGAUUCUUGACUUCCGAUUUUUCCUUUUUCAAUAAAUUUUUUUAAUAAUAUUUAGUUUCUGAAAAAAAUAAUUUUAUUCGUAUAAAAUGAACUAUAUAUAAACAAUAUUUUUCCGCUACACAUAAUAAAUAAAUUAAGAAGAGUUUGGGCAUAAUAAAUGAAACAAGUAGAAACUAGGACUAGACUUUGACGAGUAAACAACAAAGAUGACCAAAUUGAAAACAAAAAUAUUUUAGGGUUUGGGAGGCCUGUGGGCUUACCACCCUCUUCAGUCCACAUAACAGAAUGAAUUAUAAAAUAAAACCCUAAUUAUAAAAUCAGCCGCUUCAGCUGCGCUUCUAAGCUGUCACACUUCCUUCACAAACACAUCUAUCAGCGUUUCUUUCGAUCUCCUCUUCCACAUGGUGCGACAUUCACUUAAGUUCAUGCAUCCCCAUUUCAUAUUUUCAUCCAUGUAAUGUUUCUUGUGCUGUCUGGUUUCAUUUGUUUGGUAUGAAGUUGCUUUGUUUAUGAUGGGUUUGUUGAUUUCUGAGUGAAUGGAGACUCUAUCAGUUAGCCUCUCCAUUUGGGAUUGUUAUUUUAAGUGACCCCAGAUAGGUUUGCUGAAGUGAUGGAACUUUAGUGCUUUUGUUUGUCUAUUGAAUUGAAGUUUCAAUAUGACUGUAGAUGUUGGAUUCUUUAUGGUGAAUAUGAUAUGGCUUAGAAAUUGGGGAAUGAUCAGUUUUUUUAUGACAAUCCAGCAAUUGAUAGUUUCCCCGGAAAAGCAAUGAGUAUAUGCUUAAAGCUAUAUUAAAAGUGGGGCAGUAGAAGUUUCAAGAUGGACUGAGAAAAUGCAGUGUACUGGUUAGAAGUUUAGCUGGAAGCACUCGCUCACUAUUUUCGUUAUUUAGCUGCAUUUGUAUAUGUUUGUUUGAAUUAGUACUGUUAUUGUCACUUGUAUUUUGAAAUGUUGUGUCUAUUAAAUUUUCAUUGGAAAGUUUAUUUUUCAAUUUUUGAAUCAUUAGCUUGUUUGUGUAAUUUAUGACAGGCUCCCAAAAGAGGCGUGAAGGCCCCACUAGCAGCAAAGAAAAAACCUGUAUGCCUUUCUCUCUCUUUCUCUCUCUAUUGUAUGCACACAAACGCACAAAUAAGCAUUUGUUAGUGAAACAUUCAUUUCUUGAAAAUGCAAAUGGUUAUAGAUUAUGCCCAGUUCGUAGAACUUGCAUGUGAUGGAUUGUAAUUCUCUCCAAUGCACCAUGUCAAAAUUGGGCUUUGUGUGCUCUCCUCUUGCAACUAAAGGUGUUGUGCAUUUAUGUUGAUUAAUUACAGGAAAAGGUCGUAAAUCCUCUGUUUGAGAAGCGACCAAAGCAGUUUGGAAUUGGUGGUGCCCUUCCACCCAAGAAGGAUUUGACUAGAUUUGUCAAGUGGCCACAUGUUGUUCGUAUUCAGAGGCAAAGAAGGAUUCUGAAACAGCGUUUGAAGGUUCCUCCUGCUGUUAACCAGUUCACAAAAACACUUGACAAGAACCUUGGUAAGUUUCUCAUCCCUGUUCUAGAAAAACUGCAGAUGAUUUGUCUCAUGUUAAUUUGUGGUUUUAUUUUCUUCAUUUUGUAUUACAGCCACACAGCUUUUUAAGUUGUUGCUAAAAUAUAGACCUGAGGACAAGGCUGCUAAGAAGGAAAGGCUUCUUAAAAGAGCACAAGCUGCAGAAGAGGGGAAGACUGUGGAAUCAAAGAAGCCUAUUGUCGUUAAAUAUGGUCUUAACCAUGUAACUUACCUCAUUGAGCAGGUACGAAUGUUGGUUUCUAUGGCAUACUAUGUUAAAUAAUUAGGUAGCAAUAUUAGUUUGGAUGAUCUGGUACUUUGUUUAGGUAGCUUGAUUGAUCUAUAUAGGAAGAGUUCACUCAUAAAUGAGCUAUAACCAUAAUUAUCAAAACUGGCCCUGCCUAGCGAGUUGAUCCACUAGUACUCGAGGGUAGAGGCUUCACCUAGGCCAGGUUUGCAAUUAAACCAAAUGAGGAGUCCCAGUCCAUUGGUCGAGUCAACUCAUAAUUUGUAAGAA